UACAGAGGUGGCAAGCGUUGUUCGGAAUUACUGGGCGUAAAGGGCGCGUAGGCGGCUAUCUAAGUCAGACGUGAAAUCCCCCGGCUUAACCUGGGAACUGCGUCUGAUACUGGAAGGCUUGAGUAUGGGAGAGGGAUGUAGAAUUCCAGGUGUAGCGGUGAAAUGCGUAGAUAUCUGGAGGAAUACCGGUGGCGAAGGCGGCUUCCUGGACCUGUUCUGACACUGAGGAGCGAAAGCGUGGGGAGCGAUCCGG
This 253-nucleotide ribosomal RNA is filed under the name uncultured bacterium. RNAcentral's name for it is "partial 16S ribosomal RNA". It matches the Rfam family "Bacterial small subunit ribosomal RNA", at positions 524 to 776 of the family's 1533-position model. The record is from RNAcentral.